Molecule: ribosomal RNA, 497 nt
Filed under: uncultured bacterium
Lineage: Bacteria
Description: bacterial SSU rRNA
Rfam family: Bacterial small subunit ribosomal RNA
Source: RNAcentral
GAGUUUGAUCGUGGCUCAGAUUGAACGCUGGCGGCAGGCCUAACACAUGCAAGUCGGGCGGUAGAGAGAAGCUUGCUUCUCUUGAGAGCGGCGGACGGUGAGUAAUGCCUAGGAAUCUGCCUGGUAGUGGGGGAUAACGCUCGGAAACGGACGCUAAUACCGCAUACGUCCUACGGGAGAAAGCAGGGGACCUUCGGGCCUUGCGCUAUCAGAUGAGCCUAGGUCGGAUUAGCUAGUUGGUGAGGUAAUGGCUCACCAAGGCGACGAUCCGUAACUGGUCUGAGAGGAUGAUCAGUCACACUGGAACUGAGACACGGUCCAGACUCCUACGGGAGGCAGCAGUGGGGAAUAUUGGACAAUGGGCGAAAGCCUGAUCCAGCCAUGCCGCGUGUGUGAAGAAGGUCUUCGCAUUGUAAAGCACUUUAAGUUGGGAGGAAGGGCAGUAAAUUAAUACUUUGCUGUUUUGACGUUACCGACAGAAUAAAGCACCGGCUAAC